GUGGGAUUUUUAGGAAAAGCUAUAAUAAUUUUUUUUUGUAGUCGUAACGAAAAAUUACGAUACUAAAUAUUUUAUAAUCAUUUUAAAAAAAUUAUAUUUUAGGGUUGAAGUAGUUAUUUGCACACAUUUGGUUCUUUGGGGCUUCUAAUUGAAUUAUUAUACUUCUAAUUAUAAAGUGUAAGAAAUGUUGCAGAGAAAAUGGUUUAUAUGAAAUAUUUUGU
RNAcentral lists this long non-coding RNA (221 nucleotides) under Ananas comosus (pineapple). RNAcentral describes it as "long non-coding RNA (ACOM_LNC015834)". The record is from RNAcentral. Lineage: Eukaryota; Viridiplantae; Streptophyta; Magnoliopsida; Poales; Bromeliaceae.